AUCGCUUCUCGGCCUUUUGGCUAAGAUCAAGUGAAGAAAUCCAGAAUAAAUUUGUCAUAUUUACCUUUUUUUAAAGUUUUUAUUUAAAUUCCGUUUAACAUACAGUGUAAUAUUAGUUUCAGGUGUACAAUAUAGUGAUUCAACACUUCCGUACAACACCUGGUGCUU
RNAcentral lists this small nuclear RNA (168 nucleotides) under Zalophus californianus (California sea lion). RNAcentral's name for it is "U2 spliceosomal RNA (ENSZCAG00015005405.1)". It matches the Rfam family "U2 spliceosomal RNA". Rfam says of the family: U2 is a small nuclear RNA (snRNA) component of the spliceosome (involved in pre-mRNA splicing). Complementary binding between U2 snRNA (in an area lying towards the 5' end but 3' to hairpin I) and the branchpoint sequence (BPS) of the intron results the bulging out of an unpaired adenosine, on the BPS, which initiates a nucleophilic attack at the intronic 5' splice site, thus starting the first of two transesterification reactions that mediate splicing. Lineage: Eukaryota; Metazoa; Chordata; Mammalia; Carnivora; Otariidae. The record is from RNAcentral.